AGGGACAUAGUUCAGUGGUAGAAUGGCGGUCUCCAAAACCGUAGACGGGGGUUCGAGUCCCUCUGUCCCUG
Molecule: transfer RNA, 71 nt
Filed under: Bacteroidales bacterium
Lineage: Bacteria; Pseudomonadati; Bacteroidota; Bacteroidia; Bacteroidales
Description: tRNA-Trp
Rfam family: tRNA
About the family: Transfer RNA (tRNA) molecules are approximately 80 nucleotides in length. Their secondary structure includes four short double-helical elements and three loops (D, anti-codon, and T loops).
Source: RNAcentral